Molecule: ribosomal RNA, 467 nt
Filed under: uncultured bacterium
Lineage: Bacteria
Description: partial 16S ribosomal RNA
Rfam family: Bacterial small subunit ribosomal RNA
Source: RNAcentral
GAUGAACGCUGGCGGCGUGCUUAACACAUGCAAGUCGAACGGAAAGGCCCAAGCUUGCUUGGGUACUCGAGUGGCGAACGGGUGAGUAACACGUGGGUGAUAUGCCCUGCACUUCGGGAUAAGCCUGGGAAACUGGGGCGAUUACCGGAGAGAACCUCAUUUUGGAUGGGGUGGUGGAAAGUUUUUCGGUGUGGGAUGAGCUCGUGGCCGAUCAGCUUGUUGGUGGGGUAAUGGCCUACCAAGGCGUCGACGGGUAGCCGGCCUGAGAGGGUGUAGGGCCACAUUGGGACUGUGAGACGGGCCAGACUCCUACGGGAGGCAGCAGUGGGGAAUAUUGGACAAUGGGCGCAAGCCUGAUGCAGCGACGCCGCGUGGGGGAUGAAGGCCUUCGGGUUGUAAACUCCUUUCGCUAGGGACGAAGCGUUUUUGUGACGGUACCUGGAGAAGAAGCACCGGCUAACUACGUG